RNAcentral lists this ribosomal RNA (518 nucleotides) under Escherichia coli. Its description in RNAcentral is "partial 23S ribosomal RNA". It matches the Rfam family "Bacterial large subunit ribosomal RNA", at positions 1291 to 1794 of the family's 2925-position model. Lineage: Bacteria; Pseudomonadati; Pseudomonadota; Gammaproteobacteria; Enterobacterales; Enterobacteriaceae. The record is from RNAcentral.
CGAAUGCUGACAUAAGUAACGAUAAAGCGGGUGAAAAGCCCGCUCGCCGGAAGACCAAGGGUUCCUGUCCAACGUUAAUCGGGGCAGGGUGAGUCGACCCCUAAGGCGAGGCCGAAAGGCGUAGUCGAUGGGAAACAGGUUAAUAUUCCUGUACUUGGUGUUACUGCGAAGGGGGGACGGAGAAGGCUAUGUUGGCCGGGCGACGGUUGUCCCGGUUUAAGCGUGUAGGCUGGUUUUCCAGGCAAAUCCGGAAAAUCAAGGCUGAGGCGUGAUGACGAGGCACUACGGUGCUGAAGCAACAAAUGCCCUGCUUCCAGGAAAAGCCUCUAAGCAUCAGGUAACAUCAAAUCGUACCCCAAACCGACACAGGUGGUCAGGUAGAGAAUACCAAGGCGCUUGAGAGAACUCGGGUGAAGGAACUAGGCAAAAUGGUGCCGUAACUUCGGGAGAAGGCACGCUGAUAUGUAGGUGAAGUCCCUCGCGGAUGGAGCUGAAAUCAGUCGAAGAUACCAGCUGGC